GAUGAACGCUGGCGGCGUGCCUAAUACAUGCAAGUCGAGCGAACAGACGAGGAGCUUGCUCCUCUGACGUUAGCGGCGGACGGGUGAGUAACACGUGGAUAACCUACCUAUAAGACUGGGAUAACUUCGGGAAACCGGAGCUAAUACCGGAUACUAUUUUGAACCGCAUGGUUCAAUAGUUCAAGACGGUUUUGCUGUCACUUAUAGAUGUAUCCGCGCCGCAUUAGCUAGUUGGUAAGGUAACGGCUUACCAAGGCGACGAUGCGUAGCCGACCUGAGAGGGUGAUCAGCCACACUGGAACUGAGACACGGUCCAGACUCCUACGGGAGGCAGCAGUAGGGAAUCUUCCGCAAUGGGCGAAAGCCUGACGGAGCAACGCCGCGUGAGUGAUGAAGGUCUUCGGAUCGUAAAACUCUGUUAUUAGGGAAGAACAGAUGUGUAAGUAACUAUGCACGUCUUGACGGUACCUAAUCAGAAAGCCACGGCUAACUACGUG
RNAcentral lists this ribosomal RNA (497 nucleotides) under uncultured bacterium. RNAcentral's name for it is "partial 16S ribosomal RNA". It matches the Rfam family "Bacterial small subunit ribosomal RNA", at positions 28 to 507 of the family's 1533-position model. The record is from RNAcentral.